RNAcentral lists this ribosomal RNA (842 nucleotides) under Klebsiella aerogenes. RNAcentral describes it as "partial 23S ribosomal RNA". It matches the Rfam family "Bacterial large subunit ribosomal RNA", at positions 890 to 1730 of the family's 2925-position model. The record is from RNAcentral. Lineage: Bacteria; Pseudomonadati; Pseudomonadota; Gammaproteobacteria; Enterobacterales; Enterobacteriaceae.
UCAUCUUCGGGGGUAGAGCACUGUUUCGGCUAGGGGGUCAUCCCGACUUACCAACCCGAUGCAAACUACGAAUACCGAAGAAUGUUAUCACGGGAGACACACGGCGGGUGCUAACGUCCGUCGUGAAGAGGGAAACAACCCAGACCGCCAGCUAAGGUCCCAAAGUCACAGUUAAGUGGGAAACGAUGUGGGAAGGCACAGACAGCCAGGAUGUUGGCUUAGAAGCAGCCAUCAUUUAAAGAAAGCGUAAUAGCUCACUGGUCGAGUCGGCCUGCGCGGAAGAUGUAACGGGGCUAAACUGUGCACCGAAGCUGCGGCAGCGACACUAUGUGUUGUUGGGUAGGGGAGCGUUCUGUAAGCCUGCGAAGGUGGCCUGUGAGGGUUGCUGGAGGUAUCAGAAGUGCGAAUGCUGACAUAAGUAACGAUAAUGCGGGUGAAAAGCCCGCACGCCGGAAGACCAAGGGUUCCUGUCCAACGUUAAUCGGGGCAGGGUGAGUCGACCCCUAAGGCGAGGCCGAAAGGCGUAGUCGAUGGGAAACAGGUUAAUAUUCCUGUACUUGGUGUUACUGCGAAGGGGGGACGGAGAAGGCUAUGUUAGCCGGGCGACGGUUGUCCCGGUUUAAGCAUGUAGGCGGAGGUUCCAGGUAAAUCCGGUACCUUUUAACGCUGAGGUGUGAUGACGAGGCACUACGGUGCUGAAGUAACAAAUGCCCUGCUUCCAGGAAAAGCCUCUAAGCAUCAGGUAACAUUGAAUCGUACCCCAAACCGACACAGGUGGUCAGGUAGAGAAUACCAAGGCGCUUGAGAGAACUCGGGUGAAGGAACUAGGCAAAAUGGUGCCG